Molecule: ribosomal RNA, 709 nt
Filed under: Streptomyces sp. LK2322.3
Lineage: Bacteria; Bacillati; Actinomycetota; Actinomycetes; Kitasatosporales; Streptomycetaceae
Description: bacterial SSU rRNA
Rfam family: Bacterial small subunit ribosomal RNA
Source: RNAcentral
UNUAAUGGCGAACAGGGUGAGUAACACGUGGGCAAUCUGCCCUUCACUCUGGGACAAGCCCUGGAAACGGGGUCUAAUACCGGAUACGACACGGGGUCGCAUGACCUCCGUGUGGAAAGCUCCGGCGGUGAAGGAUGAGCCCGCGGCCUAUCAGCUUGUUGGUGGGGUGAUGGCCUACCAAGGCGACGACGGGUAGCCGGCCUGAGAGGGCGACCGGCCACACUGGGACUGAGACACGGCCCAGACUCCUACGGGAGGCAGCAGUGGGGAAUAUUGCACAAUGGGCGAAAGCCUGAUGCAGCGACGCCGCGUGAGGGAUGACGGCCUUCGGGUUGUAAACCUCUUUCAGCAGGGAAGAAGCGAAAGUGACGGUACCUGCAGAAGAAGCGCCGGCUAACUACGUGCCAGCAGCCGCGGUAAUACGUAGGGCGCAAGCGUUGUCCGGAAUUAUUGGGCGUAAAGAGCUCGUAGGCGGCUUGUCACGUCGGAUGUGAAAGCCCGGGGCUUAACCCCGGGUCUGCAUUCGAUACGGGCAGGCUAGAGUUCGGUAGGGGAGAUCGGAAUUCCUGGUGUAGCGGUGAAAUGCGCAGAUAUCANGANNAACACCGGUGGCGAAAGCGGAUCUCUGGGCCGAUACUGACGCUGAGNAGCNAAAGCGUGGGGAGCGAACAGGAUUANAUACCCNNGNAGUCCACGCCGUAAANGUGGG